AUAACAAUUAAAUAGGAUCUUACUAAAGAUAAUGUGAUGAUGGCUAUGCAGGAUCCCAUUGGAGGUAAUAUGAUGAUGAUUGCAUAAUGUCCUACUAGGUGUGUCACAAGAUAUGUUGGCAUUUCUUUCAUCUUGUCUAGAUGAGUACUGUGAAACUUGAGGUCCUAAGAAACUUAGUCGGUUAGAGGAGGAAGGCUCCAAAUUUUCCAUAACAUUG
RNAcentral lists this long non-coding RNA (217 nucleotides) under Elaeis guineensis (African oil palm). RNAcentral describes it as "long non-coding RNA (EGUI_LNC052857)". Lineage: Eukaryota; Viridiplantae; Streptophyta; Magnoliopsida; Arecales; Arecaceae. The record is from RNAcentral.